This 1132-nucleotide long non-coding RNA is filed under the name Mus musculus (house mouse). RNAcentral's name for it is "long non-coding RNA chr3:67244872-67246004". The record is from RNAcentral. Lineage: Eukaryota; Metazoa; Chordata; Mammalia; Rodentia; Muridae.
UUUUAUUUCAUUUAGAUUGCCUUCAUAUAUGUGUAUAUUUUUAGGAGAUUUCUACUGUAUUAGGUUCCCAUACGAUCACUCAAUUGCCUCUCAGUUUUAGCUGUCUCUCCCUGUCUUCCCUCCCUAAUGUACUUAAGUGGUUAUCCCAUGGUCUAUUGCCUUCAUUUUUUUCUAUUCAUCUGAAGCUGUUCUUGGUAUUUUUAUAUGUUUAGAUAAAAUGGUUUUUUUAAAUUAUAAUCAAUAAACAUUUAUGCAUGUCAGAAUAUUACUCUUCAGAAAACCAUCAUCUUCCUCAUUCCCCAGGUACAAGAUUCCGAUUUGGUUUUGGUUAAUGUGAUUAACACUAACCAAAACCAGGUUGGUGGAAGAAAGAAUUUGUCUUCCAAGUUAGUCCAUCACAAAGAGAAACUAAGGUGAAACUCAGACAGGAACCUGAAAUGGAACACCUACUACCACUACUCUGCUAAAUAAAAUGCAAUAGAAUUACUCCUAGUGACAUAUAUUGCUAUACUCAUAGACAACAGCAUUGUUCAAACCUCAACAAAGAAGCUUCUUGCAACAGAUGGCAGAUACCAUAAAAACCCACAGCUGAUCACUGUGCAGAGUGUAAAAGACUGUGAAAUGUUCAGAUCUAAGUGGGAUGUCUAUUCGCACGGCUCUGUAUACAGUUCGGGGAUGUAUACAGAAGCAGGGCAGAGAGACGGUUAGAAUCAGAAGUGGUAGAUGACUUCAAGGAAACAGUAUUUUUGAGAUACCACAGAUUAUAUGAAGCUAUGAACUCACAGUAACCAUGACUGUACAUGAGACCUACUCAAGCCAGGCAAAAUUCUAGCACAGAAAAAGAGGGCACAGAGUUUCAUCCUUCACAAUUGGUAGCACCUGGGAUAGAGAAAAACCAGUUCUCUUCAAGGGAAUGUCACUGAAUGUCAACCGCAGCCCAAGACAGGCCCCACAUUCCAGAGUAUUUGUCCCACACAAAUCAGACUCUGUAAUUGUUUUGUGUGUGCUUUUUUAUUUUGAUUGUGUUUUAGUUUUUGUUCAUUUUAGAAAGAAUGAAGUUAGGUGGUGAUGAAUUUGAGAGGGAUUGGGCAAAGGGAGGUGAAAAUAAUCAAAAUAUUUUACAUGAAAUUCC